RNAcentral lists this ribosomal RNA (1216 nucleotides) under uncultured bacterium. Its description in RNAcentral is "bacterial SSU rRNA". It matches the Rfam family "Bacterial small subunit ribosomal RNA", at positions 79 to 1324 of the family's 1533-position model. The record is from RNAcentral.
CUGCACCGCGUGGCGAUUGGCGGACGGGUGAGUAACACGUAGGAAUCUGCCUGGUAGUGGGGGAUAACCCGGGGAAACUCGGGCUAAUACCGCAUACGCUCUACGGAGGAAAGCGGGGGAUCUUCGGACCUCGCGCUAUUAGAUGAGCCUGCGUCCGAUUAGCUAGUUGGUGGGGUAAAGGCCCACCAAGGCGACGAUCGGUAGCUGGUCUGAGAGGACGAUCAGCCACACUGGAACUGAGACACGGUCCAGACUCCUACGGGAGGCAGCAGUGGGGAAUAUUGGGCAAUGGAGGAAACUCUGACCCAGCAACGCCGCGUGAGGGAUGAAGGCCUUCGGGUUGUAAACCUCUUUCAGCAGGGGAAUUAAGCGAAAAGUGAAGGUACCUGCAGAAGAAGCACCGGCUAACUAUGUGCCAGCAGCCGCGGUAAUACAUAGGGUGCGAGCGUUAAUCGGAAUUACUGGGCGUAAAGCGCGCGUAGGCGGUUGACUAAGUCUGCUGUGAAAGCCCCGGGCUUAACCUGGGAACUGCAGUGGAUACUGGUUGGCUAGAGUAUGGUAGAGGGUAGUGGAAUUUCCGGUGUAGCAGUGAAAUGCGUAGAGAUCGGAAGGAACACCAGUGGCGAAGGCGGCUAUCUGGACCAAUACUGACGCUGAGGUGCGAAAGCGUGGGGAGCAAACAGGAUUAGAUACCCUGGUAGUCCACGCCCUAAACGAUGAGAACUAGCCGUUGGGGUCCGGUUUACGGAUUUAGUGGCGCAGCUAACGCGUUAAGUUCUCCGCCUGGGGAGUACGGCCGCAAGGUUAAAACUCAAAUGAAUUGACGGGGGCCCACACAAGCGGUGGAGCAUGUUGUUUAAUUCGAUGCAACGCGAAGAACCUUACCUACCCUUGACAUCCAAGAAUUUUUUGCAGAGAUGCGAAGUGCCUUCCGGGGAACUUGUGAGAACAGGUGCUGCAUGGCUGUCGUCAGCUCGUGUUGUGAAUUGUUGGGUUAAGUCCCGUAACGAGCGCCACCCUUAUCCUUAGUUGCCCACAGUUCCGCUGGGACUCUAAGGAAGACCCCGUGAUAACCCGAGGAAAGGUGGGGACGACCUCCAGUCAUCAUGGCCUAUGGGUAGGCUACACACCUGCUACCAUGCUUCCGGACAGAACCCGAUCCCCGAGGCUACCAUCUCAUAACCUGCUCAGUCAGAUCUAGCUCACUCGCCUACUG